GUGUGUGAAGAAGGCCUUCGGGUUGUAAAGCACUUUCAGUCGUGAGGAAGGUGGUGUAGUUAAUAGCUGCAUUAUUUGACGUUAGCGACAGAAGAAGCACCGGCUAACUCCGUGCCAGCAGCCGCGGUAAUACGGAGGGUGCGAGCGUUAAUCGGAAUUACUGGGCGUAAAGCGCAUGCAGGUGGUUUGUUAAGUCAGAUGUGAAAGCCCGGGGCUCAACCUCGGAAUAGCAUUUGAAACUGGCAGACUAGAGUACUGUAGAGGGGGGUAGAAUUUCAGGUGUAGCGGUGAAAUGCGUAGAGAUCUGAAGGAAUACCGGUGGCGAAGGCGGCCCCCUGGACAGAUACUGACACUCAGAUGCGAAAGCGUGGGGAGCAAACAGGAUUAGAUACCCUGGUAGUCCACGCCGUAAACGAUGUCUACUUGGAGGUUGUGGCCUUGAGCCGUGGCUUUCGGAGCUAACGCGUUAAGUAGACCGCCUGGGGAGUACGGUCGCAAGAUUAAAACUCAAAUGAAUUGACGGGGGCCCGCACAAGCGGUGGAGCAUGUGGUUUAAUUCGAUGCAACGCGAAGAACCUUACCUACUCUUGACAUCCAGAGAACUUUCCAGAGAUGGAUUGGUGCCUUCGGGAACUCUGAGACAGGUGCUGCAUGGCUGUCGUCAGCUCGUGUUGUGAAAUGUUGGGUUAAGUCCCGCAACGAGCGCAACCCUUAUCCUUGUUUGCCAGCGAGUAAUGUCGGGAACUCCAGGGAGACUGCCGGUGAUAAACCGGAGGAAGGUGGGGACGACGUCAAGUCAUCAUGGCCCUUACGAGUAGGGCUACACACGUGCUACAAUGGCGCAUACAGAGGGCGGCCAACUUGCGAAAGUGAGCGAAUCCCAAAAAGUGCGUCGUAGUCCGGAUUGGAGUCUGCAACUCGACUCCAUGAAGUCGGAAUCGCUAGUAAUCGUGGAUCAGAAUGCCACGGUGAAUACGUUCCCGGGCCUUGUACAACCGCCCGUCACACCAUGGGAGUGGGCUGCAAAA
Molecule: ribosomal RNA, 1028 nt
Filed under: Vibrio sp. 7515
Lineage: Bacteria; Pseudomonadati; Pseudomonadota; Gammaproteobacteria; Vibrionales; Vibrionaceae
Description: bacterial SSU rRNA
Rfam family: Bacterial small subunit ribosomal RNA
Source: RNAcentral